UCCCUGGUGGCCCAGACGGUAAAGCAUCUGCCUACAAUGCAGGAGACCCAGGUUCAAUCCCUGGGUCGGGAA
RNAcentral lists this transfer RNA (72 nucleotides) under Bos taurus (domestic cattle). It matches the Rfam family "tRNA". Rfam says of the family: Transfer RNA (tRNA) molecules are approximately 80 nucleotides in length. Their secondary structure includes four short double-helical elements and three loops (D, anti-codon, and T loops). Further hydrogen bonds mediate the characteristic L-shaped molecular structure. tRNAs have two regions of fundamental functional importance: the anti-codon, which is responsible for specific mRNA codon recognition, and the 3' end, to which the tRNAs corresponding amino acid is attached (by aminoacyl-tRNA synthetases). tRNAs cope with the degeneracy of the genetic code in two manners: having more than one tRNA (with a specific anti-codon) for a particular amino acid; and 'wobble' base-pairing, i.e. permitting non-standard base-pairing at the 3rd anti-codon position. RNAcentral also lists the same sequence under 3 other names. The record is from Rfam by way of RNAcentral. Lineage: Eukaryota; Metazoa; Chordata; Mammalia; Artiodactyla; Bovidae.